Molecule: ribosomal RNA, 1960 nt
Filed under: Semangananus sp. UCR ENT 00081642
Lineage: Eukaryota; Metazoa; Arthropoda; Insecta; Hemiptera; Schizopteridae
Description: partial large subunit ribosomal RNA
Rfam family: Eukaryotic large subunit ribosomal RNA
Source: RNAcentral
AGUGCAACCUUAAGUGGGUGGUAAACUCCAUCUAAGGCUAAAUAUAACCAUGAGACCGAUAGUAAACAAGUACCGUGAGGGAAAGUUGAAAAGAACUUUGAAGAGAGAGUUCAAAAGUACGUGAAACCGUUUAGGGGUAAACGGAAAAGAACUGAAAAUCCGAAAAGGGAGAUUCACGUCUUCUCAUUAGUUGGCAUUUAUAUAAUUUAGGAUAACUAAUGGGCUAUUUAAUUUAUUAAAUAUGUACUAUUAAUUACCUACUUAUAUAAUGACUAGCUGUGGUGGACCGCACUUCUCUCUUAGUAGGACGUCGUGACCCACUAGAAUAUAAACUUCAAAAUUGAACUUUUUUAUGACUUGUUAUAUUUAUUUUUUUAUUAAAAAAAAUAGUAUAACAAAUGGUUCAUUUUUUGAAUAAUUAUCUGGUGGUAGAAAACGACAGUGAGAGUCACUUUUUUUAAUUAAAAAGUGUUUAAACUUUUAUUAUUUUUAAUUGUGUUAUUAGUAAGUGAAACUAUGUUUUCACGUAUUGAUAACCUAUUAAUUAUUAAUAAUGUGUUUAAACAGACUUAUAACACUAGUCAACGGCGCUACAGUUUCAGUAACUUUUCCGACCCGUCGAAACACCCAAGGAGUCUAACAUGUGCGCAAGUCAUUGGGUCAAUAAACCUAAAGGCGAAACAAAAGUAAAGUAAGCAAUGCUUUAUUAAGGAGGAUGGUUAUUUAAUAAUAUUAAAUAGCCCGCACUCCUGGGGCGUCUGUUACUCAUUGCGAGUUAAGGCGCACCUAGAGCGUACACGUUGGGACCCGAAAGAUGGUGAACUAUGCUUGGCCAGGAUGAAGUCAGGGGAAACUCUGAUGGAGGUCCGUAGCGAUUCUGACGUGCAAAUCGAUCGUCAGAGCUAAGUAUAGGGGCGUAAGACCAAUCGAACUAUCUAGUAGCUGGUUCCCUCCGAAGUUUCCCUCAGGAUAGCUGGUGCCAAUGAUGAUAUUGAGUCUCAUCUGGUAAAGCGAAUGAUUAGAGGCAUUGGGGCCGAAACGACCUCAACCUAUUCUCAAACUUUAAAUGGAUGAGAGCCCUGGCUUGCUUAAAAAUGAAGCCAGAGAUUUGGAUCUAGGUGCCAAGUGGGCCAAUUUUGGUAAUGUGGGAUGAACCAAACGCAAAGUUAAGGUGCCUAAAUCGACGCUCAUUAGACACCAUGAAAGGCGUUGGUUGCUUAAGACAGCAGGACGGUGGCCAUGGAAGUCGGAAUCCGCUAAGGAGUGUGUAACAACUCACCUGCCGAAGCAACUAGCCCUGAAAAUGGAUGGCGCUGUAGCGUCGUGCCUAUACUUUGCCGUCAACGACAAAUAAAGUAAAACAAACUAUUUGUUAUACUAUUAAGUCUUGACGAGUAGGAGGGUCGCAGCGAUGAGCGCAGAAGGGUCUGGGCGUAAGCCUGCCUGGAGCCGUCGCUGGUGCAGAUCUUGGUGGUAGUAGCAAAUACUCCAGCGAGGCCCUGGAGGGCUGUAGUGGAGAAGGGUUUCUUGUGAACAGCUGUUGCACAAGAGUCAGUCGAUCCUAAGCUCUAGGAGAAAUCCAAUGUUAAUUGGAUACCAAACAUUUGUUGGUAUCUUAUGAGCAAAAGGGAAUCCGGUUCCUAUUCCGGAACCCGGUAGCGGAACCGUUUCAAAUCGUGUCCUCAUAUGGACUCGUCGGGGUGACCCAAAAAGACCCGGAGAAGCCGUUAGAAUGUUUGGAGAGAGUUGUCUCUUCUCUAUAAGCGUUCGAGUUCCCUGGAAUCCUCUAGCAGGGAGAUAGGGUUUGGAACGCGAAGAGCAUCGCAGUUACGGCGGUGUCCAAAACAUUCUUUCGGACCAUGAAAAUUCGGGAGAGGGCAACGAGGAACACCGCACCGGAUCGUACCCCAUAUCCGCAGCAGGUCUCCAAGGUGAAUAGCCUCUAGUCGAUAGAAUAAUG